Molecule: RNA transcript, 4277 nt
Organism: Cydia pomonella (codling moth)
Lineage: Eukaryota; Metazoa; Arthropoda; Insecta; Lepidoptera; Tortricidae
Gene: dgt1
Gene name: KAT8 regulatory NSL complex subunit 2
Exons: 12
Source: RefSeq, a predicted model, not a curated record
AAAUUCGCGGUCUACGUGGUUUUUCCGAUUUGAAGAAAUAAUAAAAAUAAAUCUACAACUCAAUCCUUACGUAAUUUGAACUAUUUUAAAUUUUACCAAAUACUUGAACAAGUGCCACAGUGUUAACAAUUUGUGUUUUGUACUGUUUUAAUUACUUUUGUCAACAUAAAACUUUCAAUAUGUUACCAAUUAAAAAAGAACAUAUGCAAUAUUUACAUUCUCGUAAUAUUACCGUCAGGGAAUUUAAGCCGGAAAUGUCGCAGCCCCGUAAAGUAAUCCACCUACCAAAGAUCAGGAUGGUCCGUGGCCGAGCCAGUGGCAUCCGCAUCACUAAUGUGCAUACCGUCAAGCCUCCGGACCCUGAGCUGGUCAAACAGCAGGAGGAAAACAGGCUUCGGGCUCAGUUACAAAAGGAAAUAGUGUCUCGAUCGCGGAGCUGCAGCAAUAAGAGCUACGAAUGUUUCCUACCGGUCGUCACAGGGCGGCAGUUCUGUGCGAGACAUAUUUUACAGGACCCCAGUGCGCCGUACAAGCAGUGCGGCCACACCGGCGGCGGCGCGCGCUGCCCGCUGCCCGCGCCCGCUCCGCCCGUCGGCUCCGAACCCCGCGACCAGAGAGAUCAAGGGUUAUGCUACCAACACGCGCGCUCGGCGGCGGCGGCGCGCGCGCGCAGCUCGGCGCCGCCGCCGCCCGUGGCCACCACCGAGACCCUGCUGCAUCAGCUCACGCACUACGUCAGGAACGAGCGAACGAGAACAACGUCAUGUGCAUCAGCCGUUUCUGUCGUCAGCGAGCCCGAGGUGGACACCACUGCGCCGGAGGCAGCUGAUCCGUUUAAGCAAAUCGACGCAACCGCGGUAAACGCAGCAUACUCCACCUCCAUAAUGGAGUGUUGCAGCGCGAGCGACAGCGACGCAGACAGCCUCACCGCCGGCCCUGAGUACGAGGAGGCCUUGUCAGACUAUGAGGACAGCACUGUGGAGGACGGACCUCUGUGGCGAGCGGGCGUGUACACGGCCGAAGAAGCCGUAUCCGAAGCUAAAAACGCAUUAGUUUCGCUACAGAGCGCCUACAUCCGCCAGAUGUCGCACUUGCGGUGUUUGCUACAAACGGCCAGGCUGAAAUACUUGCGGGAGCUCAAGGCGGAGAAGGAGUUGUACUGCAGCAUCAACGCGCAGGCCCGCAGCGGGCCCCUGACGGUGCGGGAGCGCCGGCAACUUCGCAAGUUAAAAUGCUACGCCGGCUACCACAGGAAACACGGCCACGACGCCGUGCUGGCCAGGAAACUGCAGCGCAAGCGGGCCAAGGUAAACUUGGUGGCGAACCGUCCCGUGCCCUCCCACGCACGCUGCACAUUCGCUGAGGGCAGCAUGCGGUGCGCAAACAAUGUUGUGCCCGCUGCCAAGCACUGCCUGAAACACAUCAUGCACGACAGACAUCAGGUAAGGCUAUGGAUAGGGUCCACGCACGCUGCACAUUCGCUGAGGGCAGCAUGCGGUGCGCAAACAAUGUUGUGCCCGCUGCCAAGCACUGCCUGAAACACAUCAUGCACGACAGACAUCAGGUAAGGCUAUGGAUAGGGUCCACGCACGCUGCACAUUCGCUGAGGGCAGCAUGCGGUGCGCAAACAAUGUUGUGCCCGCUGCCAAGCACUGCCUGAAACACAUCAUGCACGACAGACAUCAGGUAAGGCUAUGGAUAGGGUCCACGCACGCUGCACAUUCGCUGAGGGCAGCAUGCGGUGCGCAAACAAUGUUGUGCCCGCUGCCAAGCACUGCCUGAAACACAUCAUGCACGACAGACAUCAGGUAAGGCUAUGGAUAGGGUCCACGCACGCUGCACAUUCGCUGAGGGCAGCAUGCGGUGCGCAAACAAUGUUGUGCCCGCUGCCAAGCACUGCCUGAAACACAUCAUGCACGACAGACAUCAGGUAAGGCUAUGGAUAGGGUCCACGCACGCUGCACAUUCGCUGAGGGCAGCAUGCGGUGCGCAAACAAUGUUGUGCCCGCUGCCAAGCACUGCCUGAAACACAUCAUGCACGACAGACAUCAGGUAAGGCUAUGGAUAGGGUCCACGCACGCUGCACAUUCGCUGAGGGCAGCAUGCGGUGCGCAAACAAUGUUGUGCCCGCUGCCAAGCACUGCCUGAAACACAUCAUGCACGACAGACAUCAGGUAAGGCUAUGGAUAGGGUCCACGCACGCUGCACAUUCGCUGAGGGCAGCAUGCGGUGCGCAAACAAUGUUGUGCCCGCUGCCAAGCACUGCCUGAAACACAUCAUGCACGACAGACAUCAGGUAAGGCUAUGGAUAGGGUCCACGCACGCUGCACAUUCGCUGAGGGCAGCAUGCGGUGCGCAAACAAUGUUGUGCCCGCUGCCAAGCACUGCCUGAAACACAUCAUGCACGACAGACAUCAGGUAAGGCUAUGGAUAGGGUCCACGCACGCUGCACAUUCGCUGAGGGCAGCAUGCGGUGCGCAAACAAUGUUGUGCCCGCUGCCAAGCACUGCCUGAAACACAUCAUGCACGACAGACAUCAGGUAAGGCUAUGGAUAGGGUCCACGCACGCUGCACAUUCGCUGAGGGCAGCAUGCGGUGCGCAAACAAUGUUGUGCCCGCUGCCAAGCACUGCCUGAAACACAUCAUGCACGACAGACAUCAGGUGCUGUUCGCGGCGUGCGGCGACGCGCGCGGGCUGAGCGCGUGCGGCGAGGCGCGCGCGCGGCUGCCGCUGCCCGCCGCCGCCUGCCGCCACCACGCCAUGCCGCCCACGUACACCGUCUUCACGCUCAAGAAGGACGAAACAGACAGCGACGAUUCCCGCUCGUCGGAGGCGUGACCCUCGGGCUCCGGCUGGGCUCCCUGCGGGCCGCCGGCCUCCGACUCCGACUGAAGCUACUACUGUAUCGGCUGUGAGCACUGCGAGCCAGCCAUGUUUCAGAACAAACCCCACAAUGACGGCUACUGUAUUGUCGCUUCGCCUGUCUUGGGCUGUAUGCUACAUUGGGGGUCAUUGGCCGAUGGGCUAGAGUCAAACCAAUAUAAGUUGGCAGCGAUUUAGAUAGCCUAGACGAUGAACAUGUUAUUUUAAACGUCAAACUUCAAUGAAAUGAUGACGUUUACUUGACACUUGCACCGUCUGGGCUAUCAAAAUUGCUGCCAACUUAUCUCGGUCUGACUCUAGAUUUCUGACACUGGCGGAAACUACUCUCAAUGUAGUCCGAGAUCCCACCGACGCUACAUGCGGCGCCGGAAUAGGGUUGUUUCCAAUUUUUUUUAAACGCUUGUAUUACGUUCUAUAUUAACUAAAAGUUACCCUAAAAUUCAUCUUUUAUAAUAAAAAUGGCUUUAAAUAUCAAUCAAUCAAUUUUUCGUGUUAUGGCUCCAUCAAGGUGUUGAUGAUUCUGCCAAUGUCGAGGUUGGAUAAGACACGGCUAGUAUAUGAAUCUUAUCAUAUUACGGUCAUGGACAGUGUUCGGUGGAGUAUCGUUAAAUUAACAAAAUAUAUUUUGGCAGAUGCUUUCGCGCCCAAAACGCUCUUUGAAAAUUAUGUGACGUCACAGUUUACGGUUUGACACAUAACUACAUACACACGUAGAAGAUACGAACUGGCAACUGACAUUUGUCAUUUGUUAUUUAUCGCCUAAAUGUCAACAGUGUCAAUCCGAGACUUGUGACGUCAUCAGAAUCUUCAAUGACGUUUCGAGUUUGGUCACGAAACGUGUGCCAAAAGAUAUUAGAAAUUCAAUAUUUACAAAAAUAUGGUCAUUACAGGUCCCCUAAAAGUAGUUUAACAUGUUCUUAUAAUCCAAAAGAAUUUAUUGGGAUACAAAAAAUCUAAAAAUCUGCCCUAAUAUUUGUAGAUGGAAACAACCCUAUUGACCAUUGCGUGAGGCUUUUGGCGGCAGAUCUUUUUUUUUAUUUACAGACAUACAUAAAUAUAUAGAUACCACUUACAAUAAAAAAAAUUAUAAAACCAGACCUGGAGGUUCAUAUAUGUAGACAUAAACAUGUAACAUGUAAAUCUUUGCAGAACAGUUGAAUUCUCCGCCUACCUUCUCAAUGAUGUUGUCGCCCCAUAACAUAAAUUUUGCACUUGCAUUUAUGAAACUUGUAAAUAUAUAAAUACCAUAUUUUUUCCAUACAGAAUGUGAUAUUUUGUAAAUGUAAAAUGAAUCUAAGAUGAGAAUGUGUGUAAUGUAAUAUAAGACGAGAGUGUCCAUAAUUCAUUAUGAUGAAUGUUUGUAAAUAAUCAGAAUAAAGUUUAAGUAAUGAAA